GAGUUUGAUCCUGGCUCAGAGCGAACGCUGGCGGCAUGCUUAACACAUGCAAGUCGCACGGUCAGCAAUGGCAGUGGCGGACGGGUGAGUAACGCGUAGGAAUCUAUCUCUGGGUGGGGGACAACAGUGGGAAACUACUGCUAAUACCGCAUGAUACCUGAGGGUCAAAGGCGUAAGUCGCCUGGAGAGGAGCCUGCGUCUGAUUAGCUUGUUGGUGGGUAAAGGCCUACCAAGGCUACGAUCAGUAGCUGGUCUGAGAGGAUGAUCAGCCACAUUGGGACUGAGACACGGCCCAAACUCCUACGGAGGCAGCAGUGGGAAUAUUGGACAAUGGGCGAAAGCCUGAUCCAGCAAUA
RNAcentral lists this ribosomal RNA (356 nucleotides) under bacterium enrichment culture clone OZDCA01. RNAcentral describes it as "bacterial SSU rRNA". It matches the Rfam family "Bacterial small subunit ribosomal RNA", at positions 9 to 396 of the family's 1533-position model. The record is from RNAcentral.